Molecule: long non-coding RNA, 330 nt
Filed under: Equus caballus (horse)
Lineage: Eukaryota; Metazoa; Chordata; Mammalia; Perissodactyla; Equidae
Description: lncRNA (ENSECAG00000055064.1)
Source: RNAcentral
CCCGAGAUCCCUUAUUCAGAGACAAGCCUCCCUCGCCUUUCCUGUCUAGGGUGUCUCCCCUGGAACAAGACAACAGGAGCAGCGGGUCAGCCAUCUGACGGACACUCAGCCUCGCCUUGGCUUCAGAUGAGAACACCUCUGACACUACAAGGAGCAGAACCUCCCAGAAACCCAGGCCGUGGUCCUGGGGUCCCAGUUCCUACUCUGAUCUCUGGUGUCUGCUGCCUGGUACUAUGGGGUUCUCUGCCUCAACUCAUUUUAGCUUCUGACGGCACGAGGAGAAUAAAAGGUACAUGUACAGCCAAGGAAGACAACAAUUUCCUAACGUGG